This 236-nucleotide ribosomal RNA is filed under the name uncultured bacterium. Its description in RNAcentral is "partial large subunit ribosomal RNA". It matches the Rfam family "Bacterial small subunit ribosomal RNA", at positions 597 to 832 of the family's 1533-position model. The record is from RNAcentral.
AAAUCCCCGGGUUCACCCGGGGAACGCCAGUUGAUACUGCAGAAUUGGAGUCCGGGAGGGGGGAGGGGAAUUCUGGUGGGAGGGGUGAAAGGGGUAAUAUUCAGGAGGAACCCGGGGGGGGAAAGGGUUUUUUGGCUGAUAGACGGCCGUGAAGGUGCGAAAGCUAGGGGAGCGAACAGGAUUAGAUACCCCGGUAGUCCUAGCCGUAAACGAUGGGCACUAAGUAGAGGGGUUUU